RNAcentral lists this small RNA (390 nucleotides) under Theobroma cacao (cacao). RNAcentral describes it as "sRNA Tc09v2_g014920". The record is from RNAcentral. Lineage: Eukaryota; Viridiplantae; Streptophyta; Magnoliopsida; Malvales; Malvaceae.
UCAAAGAAAAGGGGGCAAAUAAUAGAAACAACCAUUGAGGAAGAAAAUUCAAGAGAAAUUCAUCGGUUACCGAAAAAUGACGCGAUCUAAGGUAUAGGUGGUGAACCCUCUGGUAAGGGUAAGGAUAUCGUAUCCGAGGACCAAGAGUAGGAAUACUCCCGUUAUUGCUCAAGGCAAUCUGUAGACCGUUGAUUUUGUCGAGGGUUUACUUUUGAAUUUACACUCUUAGAAAUCGUGGGUUUACAGUCGUGUUUAUUUUUGUUAUUUUGGGGUUCACAUGUCAUUGUAGAAUAUUUUUGUAUACCUUGGCGCAAUGUGCUAUUUUAUAUACGAAUUUAUUUUGUUAUUACUUUUCAUUAACUGUUUACGUAGAAUUUUAUAAAUAUUGUU